RNAcentral lists this ribosomal RNA (1620 nucleotides) under Escherichia coli. RNAcentral's name for it is "partial 23S ribosomal RNA". It matches the Rfam family "Bacterial large subunit ribosomal RNA", at positions 1292 to 2890 of the family's 2925-position model. Lineage: Bacteria; Pseudomonadati; Pseudomonadota; Gammaproteobacteria; Enterobacterales; Enterobacteriaceae. The record is from RNAcentral.
GAAUGCUGACAUAAGUAACGAUAAAGCGGGUGAAAAGCCCGCUCGCCGGAAGACCAAGGGUUCCUGUCCAACGUUAAUCGGGGCAGGGUGAGUCGACCCCUAAGGCGAGGCCGAAAGGCGUAGUCGAUGGGAAACAGGUUAAUAUUCCUGUACUUGGUGUUACUGCGAAGGGGGGACGGAGAAGGCUAUGUUGGCCGGGCGACGGUUGUCCCGGUUUAAGCGUGUAGGCUGGUUUUCCAGGCAAAUCCGGAAAAUCAAGGCUGAGGCGUGAUGACGAGGCACUACGGUGCUGAAGCGACAAAUGCCCUGCUUCCAGGAAAAGCCUCUAAGCAUCAGGUAACAUCAAAUCGUACCCCAAACCGACACAGGUGGUCAGGUAGAGAAUACCAAGGCGCUUGAGAGAACUCGGGUGAAGGAACUAGGCAAAAUGGUGCCGUAACUUCGGGAGAAGGCACGCUGAUAUGUAGGUGAAGCGACUUGCUCGUGGAGCUGAAAUCAGUCGAAGAUACCAGCUGGCUGCAACUGUUUAUUAAAAACACAGCACUGUGCAAACACGAAAGUGGACGUAUACGGUGUGACGCCUGCCCGGUGCCGGAAGGUUAAUUGAUGGGGUUAGCGGUAACGCGAAGCUCUUGAUCGAAGCCCCGGUAAACGGCGGCCGUAACUAUAACGGUCCUAAGGUAGCGAAAUUCCUUGUCGGGUAAGUUCCGACCUGCACGAAUGGCGUAAUGAUGGCCAGGCUGUCUCCACCCGAGACUCAGUGAAAUUGAACUCGCUGUGAAGAUGCAGUGUACCCGCGGCAAGACGGAAAGACCCCGUGAACCUUUACUAUAGCUUGACACUGAACAUUGAGCCUUGAUGUGUAGGAUAGGUGGGAGGCUUUGAAGUGUGGACGCCAGUCUGCAUGGAGCCGACCUUGAAAUACCACCCUUUAAUGUUUGAUGUUCUAACGUGGGCCCCUUACCGGGGUUGCGGACAGUGUCUGGUGGGUAGUUUGACUGGGGCGGUCUCCUCCUAAAGAGUAACGGAGGAGCACGAAGGUUGGCUAAUCCUGGUCGGACAUCAGGAGGUUAGUGCAAUGGCAUAAGCCAGCUUGACUGCGAGCGUGACGGCGCGAGCAGGUGCGAAAGCAGGUCAUAGUGAUCCGGUGGUUCUGAAUGGAAGGGCCAUCGCUCAACGGAUAAAAGGUACUCCGGGGAUAACAGGCUGAUACCGCCCAAGAGUUCAUAUCGACGGCGGUGUUUGGCACCUCGAUGUCGGCUCAUCACAUCCUGGGGCUGAAGUAGGUCCCAAGGGUAUGGCUGUUCGCCAUUUAAAGUGGUACGCGAGCUGGGUUUAGAACGUCGUGAGACAGUUCGGUCCCUAUCUGCCGUGGGCGCUGGAGAACUGAGGGGGGCUGCUCCUAGUACGAGAGGACCGGAGUGGACGCAUCACUGGUGUUCGGGUUGUCAUGCCAAUGGCACUGCCCGGUAGCUAAAUGCGGAAGAGAUAAGUGCUGAAAGCAUCUAAGCACGAAACUUGCCCCGAGAUGAGUUCUCCCUGACUCCUUGAGAGUCCUGAAGGAACGUUGAAGACGACGACGUUGAUAGGCCGGGUGUGUAAGCGCAGCGAUGCGUUGAG